This 80-nucleotide transfer RNA is filed under the name Marmota monax (woodchuck). RNAcentral's name for it is "tRNA.Pro". Lineage: Eukaryota; Metazoa; Chordata; Mammalia; Rodentia; Sciuridae. The record is from RNAcentral.
GAGGUUGUGGCUCAGAGGUAGAGUGCUUGCCUAGGACAGGUGAGGCAGGUGAGGUCCUGAGUUCGAUCCUCAGCACCACA